This is a long non-coding RNA of Xiphophorus maculatus (southern platyfish), 867 nucleotides long. RefSeq lists it as uncharacterized. The record is from RefSeq and is a predicted model, not a curated record. The transcript is spliced from 2 exons. Lineage: Eukaryota; Metazoa; Chordata; Actinopteri; Cyprinodontiformes; Poeciliidae.
CUACUGUUAAUAGCUUUGGAGAGAUUUCUGAUUUCACAAUUCGAUGUAGUGUUGAUGUUACGGUUAACAUCUGGAGAUCAAAAUCGUGUUAAAAUGUCAUUGUCUGCUGUUGUAAUUUACUGGCGCUGCUUAAAUAUUCUUCAUCCUGCAGUGAUCCAGUGAGGACGUUGACCCGAGCCUCCUGUGAUAUUGCCGGUUUUGAACGCAGAGAACGAGAGCUGCAGAGGUUUGUCACUGCAAUGCUGCUGCAGGAAAGAUGCAGGGAUCUGAAGGCUGUUUAUUCCUCUGCCUCCAAACAAAGAGCCCGGGUAGCCUGAGUGUGAUCAAUCUUUCCAGCCAAAAAGGUCUGACAGCUCUCUGCCAGAGAACACAGCUGAACCAUCCAACACUCAUAUGGUGCCAGGAAGAGCGCAGCCGCGCUGGCUCUGGGGCUCUGGCUUUAUUUUAGUUUCUUUUAAAGACUAUUAUCAAGAAAUUACAAACUUUUUAUUUGGAAUCCACGUGCGUUUUAGAGAGAUAAAACUUCUUCUUUAUUUGUCGAUUACAAAAGACGGGAAUUAUAUAUUUUUUUUAAAAUGGAGGUGAUAACUGGACUGUCAAUUUUUUUUAUUUUUUUUUUUUGCAAGGAACGGAGCAGCUUUUGUCAUUAAGGAUCAAUUGUUCGCUGAGACGUUUUCCGGGCGGACCAGGGAGCGCCCCGUUUCCCGUCUGCUCUGGAGACAUCUGGGAGGCAAAGAGGCCAAAAAAAAACUGCAGCCACGCAUCCACACGGACACAGAGUCUUUUUAAAGCGAUGAUAUUUCUGUCACCAUGCAGGCGCAGAUGUUAUUGUCAUUCUAAGUAAUAAAAAAACAGCAAAUCUGAAAU